CCUCAGAGUAGCUGCGAGUGCUGCGUCUUCUUCUUGUGUGACAGGUGUCAGAGUUAAGUCACGAUACUGCCACCUGGGCACUCAACCAGGUACUGUUACCAAGUAUUUACAUGUGGUUUCAUCACUGUUCAUUUUAAAUAUUGCAGUUAUCACUAAUACCGGUAUAUCCUCAUACACUAAAUUAACACGAUAUCGAUAAUUGUUUAUUUGAAUAUCACGGUUAUCGUCAAUACCGGUAUAUCGCGACAGCCCUAGUCUAAACUUAGGAC
This is a long non-coding RNA of Carassius auratus (goldfish), 269 nucleotides long. RefSeq lists it as uncharacterized. The record is from RefSeq and is a predicted model, not a curated record. NCBI's taxonomy places the organism in Eukaryota, Metazoa, Chordata, Actinopteri, Cypriniformes, Cyprinidae. The transcript has 3 exons.